GUACACUCCUACGGGAGGCAGCAGUGGGGAAUUUUGGACAAUGGGCGAAAGCCUGAUCCAGCAAUGCCGCGUGAGUGAAGAAGGCCUUCGGGUUGUAAAGCUCUUUUGUCAGGGAAGAAACGGUGAAAGCUAAUAUCUUUUGCUAAUGACGGUACCUGAAGAAUAAGCACCGGCUAACUACGUGCCAGCAGCCGCGGUAAUACGUAGGGUGCAAGCGUUAAUCGGAAUUACUGGGCGUAAAGCGUGCGCAGGCGGUUUUGUAAGUCUGAUGUGAAAUCCCCGGGCUCAACCUGGGAAUUGCAUUGGAGACUGCAAGGCUAGAAUCUGGCAGAGGGGGGUAGAAUUCCACGUGUAGCAGUGAAAUGCGUAGAUAUGUGGAGGAACACCGAUGGCGAAGGCAGCCCCCUGGGUCAAGAUUGACGCUCAUGCACGAAAGCGUGGGGAGCAAACAGGAUUAGAAACCCUGGUAGUCCCAU
Molecule: ribosomal RNA, 476 nt
Filed under: uncultured organism
Description: partial 16S ribosomal RNA
Rfam family: Bacterial small subunit ribosomal RNA
Source: RNAcentral